AUUGAACGCUGGCGGCAGGCCUAACACAUGCAAGUCGAACGAGUGGCGGACGGGUGAGUAAUGUCUGGGAAACUGCCUGAUGGAGGGGGCUAACUACUGGACACGGUAGCUAAUACCGCAUACCAUCGGAUGUGCCCAGAUGGGAUUAGCUAGUAGGUGGGGUAACGGCUAACCUAGGAGACGAUCCCUAGCUGGUCUGAGAGGAUGACCAGCCACACGGGAACUGAGACACGGUCCAGACUCCUACGGGAGGCAGCAGUGGGGAAUAUUGCACAAUGGGCGCAAGCCGGAUGCAGGCAUGACGCGUGUAUGAAGAAGGCCUUCGGGUGGUAAAGUACUGUCAGCGGGGAGGCGUUACCCGCAGAAGAAGCACCGGCUAACUCCGUGCCAGCAGCCGCGGUAAUUC
RNAcentral lists this ribosomal RNA (406 nucleotides) under uncultured bacterium. RNAcentral describes it as "partial 16S ribosomal RNA". It matches the Rfam family "Bacterial small subunit ribosomal RNA", at positions 29 to 526 of the family's 1533-position model. The record is from RNAcentral.